GACGAACGCUGGCGGCGUGCUUAACACAUGCAAGUCGAACGGAAAGGCCCUGCUUGCAGGGUACUCGAGUGGCGAACGGGUGAGUAACACGUGGGUGAUCUGCCCUGCACUUCGGGAUAAGCCUGGGAAACUGGGUCUAAUACCAGAUAGGAGCCAUUUUUAGUGUGAUGGUUGGAAAGUUUUUUCGGUGUAGGAUGAGCUCGCGGCCUAUCAGCUUGUUGGUGGGGUAAUGGCCUACCAAGGCGGCGACGGGUAGCCGGCCUGAGAGGGUGGACGGCCACAUUGGGACUGAGAUACGGCCCAGACUCCUACGGGAGGCAGCAGUGGGGAAUCUUGCACAAUGGGCGCCAGCCUGAUGCAGCGACGCCGCGUGGGGGAUGACGGCCUUCGGGUUGUAAACUCCUUUCGCUAGGGACGAAGCUUUUUGUGACGGUACCUAGAUAAGAAGCACCGGCUAACUACGUG
RNAcentral lists this ribosomal RNA (465 nucleotides) under uncultured bacterium. RNAcentral's name for it is "partial 16S ribosomal RNA". It matches the Rfam family "Bacterial small subunit ribosomal RNA", at positions 28 to 507 of the family's 1533-position model. The record is from RNAcentral.